AUUGAACGCUGGCGGCAGGCCUAACACAUGCAAGUCGAGCGGAUGAAGGGAGCUUGCUCCUGGAUUCAGCGGCGGACGGGUGAGUAAUGCCUAGGAAUCUGCCUGGUAGUGUGGGAUAACGUCCGGAAACGGGCGCUAAUACCGCAUACGUCCUGAGGGAGAAAGUGGGGGAUCUUCGGACCUCACGCUCUCAGAUGAGCCUAGGUCGGAUUAGCUAGUUGGUGGGGUAAAGGCCUACCAAGGCGACGAUCCGUAACUGGUCUGAGAGGAUGAUCAGUCACACUGGAACUGAGACACGGUCCAGACUCCUACGGGAGGCAGCAGUGGGGAAUAUUGGACAAUGGGCGAAAGCCUGAUCCAGCCAUGCCGCGUGUGUGAAGAAGGUCUUCGGAUUGUAAAGCACUUUAAGUUGGGAGGAAGGGCAGUAAGUUAAUACCUUGCUGUUUUGACGUUACCAACAGAAUAAGCACCGGCUAACUUCGUG
This 484-nucleotide ribosomal RNA is filed under the name uncultured bacterium. RNAcentral's name for it is "partial 16S ribosomal RNA". It matches the Rfam family "Bacterial small subunit ribosomal RNA", at positions 30 to 507 of the family's 1533-position model. The record is from RNAcentral.